CAAGCAGGGAUAGUGUGUAUUGGUGUUUUGCUAUGAUCAAAUGCAUUCUUCCGAAAGUGUUCCCUAGCAAUAUUAAUUUGGGAAAAUGGGCAGUUGUGUUUCAUUUUAAAGUUGAAAAUCACAACAAUCAUUUUCCCUACAUUU
RNAcentral lists this small nucleolar RNA (144 nucleotides) under Trifolium pratense (red clover). RNAcentral's name for it is "snoRNA snoR135". It matches the Rfam family "small nucleolar RNA snoR135". The record is from RNAcentral. Lineage: Eukaryota; Viridiplantae; Streptophyta; Magnoliopsida; Fabales; Fabaceae.